This 1234-nucleotide ribosomal RNA is filed under the name metagenome. RNAcentral's name for it is "bacterial LSU rRNA". It matches the Rfam family "Bacterial large subunit ribosomal RNA", at positions 1564 to 2808 of the family's 2925-position model. The record is from RNAcentral.
UGAAUACGAGACGCUAAGGCGUCGAAGUAGUGUAUGUCAUACUUCCAAGAAAAGCUUGCACUGUCAUAGAUAAAAAACGCCUGUACCAUAACCGACACAGGUGGGUAGGUAGAGUAUACUAAGGGGCGCGAGAUAACUCUCUCUAAGGAACUCGGCAAAAUAACUCCGUAACUUCGGGAGAAGGAGUGCCUUAUUCGUAAGGUUGCAAUAACAAGAUCCAAGCAACUGUUUAUCAAAAACACAGGUCUCCGCUAAGUCGUAAGACGAUGUAUGGGGGCUGACGCCUGCCCAGUGCCAGAAGGUUAAAGAAGUUGGUUAGCAAUUGCGAAGCUGAUAACUGAAGCCCUGGUGAACGGCGGCCGUAACAAUAACGGUCCUAAGGUAGCGAAAUUCCUUGUCGGGUAAGUUCCGACCCGCACGAAAGGCGUAAUGAUUUGGAUACUGUCUCGGAGAGGGGCACGGUGAAAUAGACUUGUCUGUGAAGAUGCGGACUACCUGCACCAGGACAGAAAGACCCUAUGAAGCUUUACUGUAACUUGAAAUUGAAAUUGGACUUUAUUCGCGCAGUAUAGGUGGGAGGCGUUGAUUAUAAUCUUGUGGGAUUAUUGGAGCCAUCAGUGAGAUACCACUCUUGUAAUGUUAGAUUUCUAACUUUGAAUCAUUAUCUGGUCAAAGAACAGUUUCAGGCGGGCAGUUUGACUGGGGCGGUCGCCUCCUAAACGGUAACGGAGGCGUACAAAGGUUUCCUCUGAACGGUUAGAAAUCGUAUCUAGAGUGUAAAGGCAUAAGGAAGCUUGACUGUGAGACCUACAAGUCGAGCAGGGACGAAAGUCGGUCUUAGUGAUCUGACGGUACUGAGUGGAAAGCCGUCACUCAACGGAUAAAAGUUACUCUAAGGAUAACAGGCUGAUCUCCCCCAAGAGUUCACAUCGACGGGGAGGUUUGGCACCUCGAUGUCGGCUCAUCGCAUCCUGGGGCGGUAGUACGUCCCAAGGGUUGGGCUGUUCGCCCAUGAAAGCGGUACGCGAGCUGGGUUCAGAACGUCGUGAGACAGUUCGGUCCAUAUCCGGUGUAGGCGUUAGAAUAUUGAGAGGAGCCUUCUUUAGUACGAGAGGACCGAGAAGGACAUACCUCUGGUGUACCAGUUAUCGUGCCAACGGUAAACGCUGGGUAGCUAUGUAUGGAGUGGAUAACCGCUGAAAGCAUCUAAGUGGGAAGCCCACCUCAAGAUAAG